Molecule: ribosomal RNA, 433 nt
Filed under: uncultured bacterium
Lineage: Bacteria
Description: partial 16S ribosomal RNA
Rfam family: Bacterial small subunit ribosomal RNA
Source: RNAcentral
AACGAACGCUGGCGGCAUGCCUAACACAUGCAAGUCGAACGAGACCUUCGGGUCUAGUGGCGCACGGGUGCGUAACGCGUGGGAACCUGCCCUUAGGUUCGGAAUAACUCCCCGAAAGGGGUGCUAAUACCGGAUAAUGUCUUCGGACCAAAGAUUUAUCGCCUUUGGAGGGGCCCGAGUUGGAUUAGCUGGUUGGUAGGGUAAAAGCCUACCAAGGCGACGAUCCAUAGCUGGUCUGAGAGGAUGAUCAGCCACACUGGGACUGAGACACGGCACAGACUCCUACGGGAGGCAGCAGUGGGGAAUAUUGGAAAAUGGGCGAAAGCCUGAUCCAGCAAUGCCGCGUGAGUGAUGAAGGCCUUAGGGUUGUAAAGCUCUUUUACCCGGGAUGAUAAUGACAGUACCGGGAGAAUAAGCUCCGGCUAACUCCGUG